RNAcentral lists this transfer RNA (83 nucleotides) under Pseudomonas luteola. RNAcentral's name for it is "tRNA_Leu_GAG". It matches the Rfam family "tRNA". Rfam says of the family: Transfer RNA (tRNA) molecules are approximately 80 nucleotides in length. Their secondary structure includes four short double-helical elements and three loops (D, anti-codon, and T loops). Further hydrogen bonds mediate the characteristic L-shaped molecular structure. tRNAs have two regions of fundamental functional importance: the anti-codon, which is responsible for specific mRNA codon recognition, and the 3' end, to which the tRNAs corresponding amino acid is attached (by aminoacyl-tRNA synthetases). tRNAs cope with the degeneracy of the genetic code in two manners: having more than one tRNA (with a specific anti-codon) for a particular amino acid; and 'wobble' base-pairing, i.e. permitting non-standard base-pairing at the 3rd anti-codon position. Lineage: Bacteria; Pseudomonadati; Pseudomonadota; Gammaproteobacteria; Pseudomonadales; Pseudomonadaceae. RNAcentral also lists the same sequence under 2 other names. The record is from RNAcentral.
GCCGAAGUGGUGGAAUUGGUAGACACGCUAUCUUGAGGGGGUAGUGGCCAACGGCUGUAUGGGUUCGAGUCCCAUCUUCGGCA